This 312-nucleotide non-coding RNA is filed under the name Phytophthora infestans T30-4. RNAcentral describes it as "Eukaryotic large subunit ribosomal RNA". It matches the Rfam family "Eukaryotic large subunit ribosomal RNA", at positions 675 to 954 of the family's 3401-position model. Lineage: Eukaryota; Oomycota; Peronosporomycetes; Peronosporales; Peronosporaceae. The record is from Rfam by way of RNAcentral.
CUAACAUGUGUGCAAGUGUUAGGGUGUGGAAACCCCAGCGCGAAAUGAAAGUGAAGGGCAGCGUAAGUUGUCUGAGGUAGGAAAUGCUGCGGGCUUCGGUCUGCGGUGUGGCACUAUCGACCGAUCAUGAACCUUCGUGGUGAAAGAUUUGAGUUUGAGCACAUAUGUUGGUACCCGAAAGAUGGUGAACUAUGCCUGAGUAGGGUGAAGCCAGGGGAAACUCUGUAGAAGCUCGUAGCGAUUCUGACGUGCAAAUCGAUCGUCAAACUUGGGUAUAGGGGCGAAAGACUAAUCGAACCAUCUAGUAGCUGG